RNAcentral lists this ribosomal RNA (228 nucleotides) under uncultured bacterium. Its description in RNAcentral is "partial 16S ribosomal RNA". It matches the Rfam family "Bacterial small subunit ribosomal RNA", at positions 568 to 793 of the family's 1533-position model. The record is from RNAcentral.
CAUGCAGGUGGUUUGUUAAGUCAGUAUGUGAAAGCCCGGGGCUCAACCUCGGAAUUGCAUUUUGAAACUGGCAAACUAGAGUACUGUAGAGGGGGUAGAAUUUCAGGUGUAGCGGUGAAAUGCGUAGAGAUCUGAAGGAAUACCGGUGGCGAAGGCGGCCCCCCUGGACAGAUACUGACACUCAGAUGCGAAAGCGUGGGGAGCAAACAGGAUUAGAUACCCUGGUAG